Molecule: transfer RNA, 70 nt
Filed under: Upogebia major
Lineage: Eukaryota; Metazoa; Arthropoda; Malacostraca; Decapoda; Upogebiidae
Description: tRNA-Val
Source: RNAcentral
AGAGAUAAAGCUUAAAAUUGAGCAGUUCAUUUACAUUGAAAUGGUUCUCGUGCAAGUCGAGAUAUCUUUA